Molecule: ribosomal RNA, 166 nt
Filed under: Dysosma versipellis
Lineage: Eukaryota; Viridiplantae; Streptophyta; Magnoliopsida; Ranunculales; Berberidaceae
Description: partial 28S ribosomal RNA
Rfam family: Eukaryotic large subunit ribosomal RNA
Source: RNAcentral
GACCCCAGGUCAGGCGGGAUUACCCGCUGAAUUUAAGCAUAUCAAUAAGCGGAGGAGAAGAAACUUACAAGGAUUCCCCUAGUAACGGCGAGCGAACCGGGAUCAGCCCAGCUUGGGAAUCGGAUGGCUAUGUUGUCUGAAUUGUAGUCUGUAGAAGCGUCCUCAG